Small nucleolar RNA from Drosophila melanogaster (fruit fly), 147 nucleotides. The record is from Ensembl. Lineage: Eukaryota; Metazoa; Arthropoda; Insecta; Diptera; Drosophilidae.
ACUUGGCAGCGUGCAAGCAACUGGCUACUCUUCUGGUUGUCCGAUGCUUGCAGGGAUCUCCUGCGUUGCCAGAUAAAAUGCUCUUCUUGGCGUUACGAUUGAAACUUGAUUCACGGCUUCCAUCGUGGUAACGGAAGAGCAACAGCU